GCACCCGUAGCUCAGUUGGAUAGAGCGCUGCCCUCCGAAGGCAGAGGUCACAGGUUCGAAUCCUGUCGGGUGCG
RNAcentral lists this transfer RNA (74 nucleotides) under Oricola cellulosilytica. It matches the Rfam family "tRNA". From Rfam's summary of the family: Transfer RNA (tRNA) molecules are approximately 80 nucleotides in length. RNAcentral also lists the same sequence under 2 other names. The record is from Rfam by way of RNAcentral. Lineage: Bacteria; Pseudomonadati; Pseudomonadota; Alphaproteobacteria; Hyphomicrobiales; Ahrensiaceae.